Molecule: RNase P RNA, 370 nt
Filed under: Caulobacterales bacterium
Lineage: Bacteria; Pseudomonadati; Pseudomonadota; Alphaproteobacteria; Caulobacterales
Description: RNase P RNA component class A
Rfam family: Bacterial RNase P class A
About the family: Ribonuclease P (RNase P) is a ubiquitous endoribonuclease, found in archaea, bacteria and eukarya as well as chloroplasts and mitochondria. Its best characterised activity is the generation of mature 5'-ends of tRNAs by cleaving the 5'-leader elements of precursor-tRNAs. Cellular RNase Ps are ribonucleoproteins.
Source: RNAcentral
UCAGACGGUCGGGCGGUCGCGGCGUUUCGGCGUCGAGGAAAGUCCGGGCUCCACGGCGAAAAGGCGGCGGGUAACGCCCGCCCGGGGUGACCCGAGGGAUAGCGCCACAGAAAGCAAACCGCCCCGAUUUCGGUCGGGGUAAGGGUGAAAGGGUGGGGUAAGAGCCCACCGCGGACCUGGCGACAGGGACGGCAUGGCAAGCCCCGCCUGGAGCAAGACCGAAUAGGGACACCGCACACCCUCGGGUGUAGGGCUCGCCGGCCCGAGGUGUCCGGGUAGGUCGCGAGAACCGUCCAGCAAUGGACGGUCCAGAGGAAUGACCGUCACCCGCUUGCGGGGACAGAACCCGGCUUACAGACCGUCUGACAUU